CUCCGCUUCCGCUCUUGCCCACACUACGUCCAGGUCUCCAGUCCCUCUCAGAGUGAGAGUCUGGGAUAGAGGCCUGGAAAUUGGGCGGCUUCGUUUUUGGCCUUCUGGCUUCGUUUUUGCGGCCUUCUGGCCGUGGCUUGAUAUUGUUUUGAAUGUUAAUUUUUGCCUAGUUUAAUUAUAAUAAAUUAUUGAUUAUUUUCACAUUAAUCCACCGUUGUCUGCCGUGUUUUGCCCUUGCUUUAUUUAGCUUUGUUAUAGUUCCCUGACCCUAGCAGGGGGCAUAACACUGUGUGUGUGUGUGUGUGUGUGAGGGAGAGAGAGA
Alosa sapidissima (American shad) is the source of this 322-nucleotide long non-coding RNA. RefSeq lists it as uncharacterized. The transcript is spliced from 3 exons. Lineage: Eukaryota; Metazoa; Chordata; Actinopteri; Clupeiformes; Clupeidae. The record is from RefSeq and is a predicted model, not a curated record.